This 747-nucleotide ribosomal RNA is filed under the name uncultured Methanosarcina sp. Its description in RNAcentral is "bacterial SSU rRNA". It matches the Rfam family "Archaeal small subunit ribosomal RNA", at positions 88 to 835 of the family's 1478-position model. The record is from RNAcentral. Lineage: Archaea; Methanobacteriati; Methanobacteriota; Methanomicrobia; Methanosarcinales; Methanosarcinaceae.
GCUCAGUAACACGUGGAUAACCUGCCCUUGGGACCGGGAUAACCCCGGGAAACUGGGGAUAAUACCGGAUAACGCAUAUCUGCUGGAAUGCUUUAUGCGUAAAAUGGAUUUGUCUGCCCAAGGAUGGGUCUGCGGCCUAUCAGGUAGUAGUGGGUGUAAUGUACCUACUAGCCUACGACGGGUACGGGUUGUGAGAGCAAGAGCCCGGAGAUGGAUUCUGAGACAUGAAUCCAGGCCCUACGGGGCGCAGCAGGCGCGAAAACUUUACAAUGCGGGAAACCGUGAUAAGGGGACACCGAGUGCCAGCAUCAUAUGUUGGCUGUCCAGAWRWRUAAAAWACAUCUGUUAGCAAGGGCCGGGCAAGACCGGUGCCAGCCGCCGCGGUAACACCGGCGGCCCGAGUGGUGAUCGUGAUUAUUGGGUCUAAAGGGUCCGUAGCCGGUUUGGUCAGUCCUCCGGGAAAUCUGACGGCUCAACCGUUAGGCUUUCGGUGGAUACUGCCAGACUUGGAACCGGGAGAGGUAAGAGGUACUACAGGGGUAGGAGUGAAAUCUUGUAAUCCCUGUGAGACCACCUGUGGCGAAGGCGUCUUACCAGAACGGGUUCGACGGUGAGGGACGAAAGCUGGGGGCACGAACCGGAUUAGAUACCCGGGUAGUCCCAGCCGUAAACGAUGCUCGCUASGCUCACCAUGGCGCGACCGUGUCUGGUGCCGCAGRGAAGCCGUGAAGCGAGCCACCUUGGGAA